RNAcentral lists this ribosomal RNA (779 nucleotides) under uncultured Neocallimastigales. RNAcentral's name for it is "partial large subunit ribosomal RNA". It matches the Rfam family "Eukaryotic large subunit ribosomal RNA", at positions 24 to 644 of the family's 3401-position model. The record is from RNAcentral. Lineage: Eukaryota; Fungi; Neocallimastigomycota; Neocallimastigomycetes; Neocallimastigales.
UAUCUCUGUAGAGUCUGCAUAUCAAUAAGCGGAGGAAAAGAAACUAACAAGGAUUCCCUUAGUAACGGCGAGUGAAGCGGGAAGAGCUCAAAUUUGAAAUCUUCAAGGUUCUACCUUGACGAAUUGUAGUUUAAAGAAAUGUUUUCUGUUAGAUUUGAGUAGCAAAGUUCCUUGGAAUAGGACAUCAUAGAGGGUGAGAAUCCCGUAUUUGACUAUUCAUUUCCAGCUUUGUGAUACACUUUCAAAGAGUCGGAUUGUUUGGGAAUGCAGUCCAAAAUGGGUGGUAAAUUUCAUCUAAAGCUAAAUACUGGCGAGAGACCGAUAGCGAACAAGUACCGUGAGGGAAAGAUGAAAAGAACUUUGAAAAGAGAGUUAAACAGUACGUGAAAUUGUCAAAAGGGAAGCGUUUGACACCAGUGUUGUUUUCUCGAAAAUCAAUUAAGAAUGGCAUGAUUUUGUGUUGUAUUGACCUUAUCAGCUUUCUUCACUCUUUUCAUGUCUUUUUUAAUGCACUUUUCGGUUAACAAGUCAACAUCAAUUUCUUUUGUUGUAAAAGAGUCAUUCGGAAGGUGGCUUUCUUUUCGGAGAAAGUGUUUAUAGCCUUAUGCCUCUACAAUCGGAGAGAUUGAGGUCUGCAGCGUAGAUCCUUCGGGGUUAGAUACACUUUGUGCUAAGUUAGUAGCCUUUCAUAGACAACUUGUUGACUAUGAUCAGUCAUGUAGCUUACUCGCUUAUGCUAUUUUACCUACGCUUAGGAUGUUGAUAGUCACAGCGUGUAC